RNAcentral lists this ribosomal RNA (2823 nucleotides) under Acinetobacter baumannii. RNAcentral's name for it is "partial 23S ribosomal RNA". It matches the Rfam family "Bacterial large subunit ribosomal RNA". The record is from RNAcentral. Lineage: Bacteria; Pseudomonadati; Pseudomonadota; Gammaproteobacteria; Moraxellales; Moraxellaceae.
AGUCAAGUAAUUAAGUGCAUGUGGUGGAUGCCUUGGCAGUCAGAGGCGAUGAAAGACGUGAUAGCCUGCGAAAAGCUCCGGGGAGGCGGCAAAUAUCCUUUGAUCCGGAGAUGUCUGAAUGGGGGAACCCACCUACUUUAAGGUAGGUAUUGCAACAUGAAUACAUAGUGUUGCAAGGCGAACGAGGGGAAGUGAAACAUCUCAGUACCCUUAGGAAAAGAAAUCAAUUGAGAUUCCCUCAGUAGCGGCGAGCGAACGGGGAUCAGCCCAUUAAGUUAUGUGUGUUUUAGUGGAACGCUCUGGGAAGUGCGAACGUAGAGGGUGAUAUUCCCGUACACGAAAGGGCACACAUAAUGAUGACGAGUAGGGCGAGGCACGUGAAACCUUGUCUGAAUAUGGGGGGACCAUCCUCCAAGGCUAAAUACUCCUGACUGACCGAUAGUGAACCAGUACCGUGAGGGAAAGGCGAAAAGAACCCCUGUGAGGGGAGUGAAAUAGAUCCUGAAACCGCAUGCAUACAAGCAGUGGGAGCACCUUCGUGGUGUGACUGCGUACCUUUUGUAUAAUGGGUCAGCGACUUAUAUUCAGUAGCAAGGUUAACCGUAUAGGGGAGCCGUAGAGAAAUCGAGUCUUAAUAGGGCGUUUAGUUGCUGGGUAUAGACCCGAAACCAGGCGAUCUAUCCAUGAGCAGGUUGAAGGUUGGGUAACACUAACUGGAGGACCGAACCCACUGUCGUUGAAAAGCCAGGGGAUGACUUGUGGAUAGGGGUGAAAGGCUAAUCAAGCCUGGUGAUAGCUGGUUCUCCCCGAAAGCUAUUUAGGUAGCGCCUCGGACGAAUACCAUAGGGGGUAGAGCACUGUUUCGGCUAGGGGGUCAUCCCGACUUACCAAACCGAUGCAAACUCCGAAUACCUAUGAGUACUAUCCGGGAGACAGACUGCGGGUGCUAACGUCCGUAGUCAAGAGGAAAACAAUCCAGACCGCCAGCUAAGGCCCCAAAAUCAUAGUUAAGUGGGAAACGAUGUGGGAAGGCAUAGACAGCUAGGAGGUUGGCUUAGAAGCAGCCACCCUUUAAAGAAAGCGUAAUAGCUCACUAGUCGAGUCGGCCUGCGCGGAAGAUGUAACGGGGCUAAAACUAUGUGCCGAAGCUGCGGAUGUAUACUUUGUAUACGUGGUAGGGGAGCGUUCUGUAAGCCGAUGAAGGUGUGUUGAGAAGCAUGCUGGAGGUAUCAGAAGUGCGAAUGCUGACGUGAGUAACGACAAAACGGGUGAAAAACCCGUUCGCCGAAAGACCAAGGGUUCCAGUCCAACGUUAAUCGGGGCUGGGUGAGUCGACCCCUAAGGCGAGGCCGAAAGGCGUAGUCGAUGGGAAAAUGGUUAAUAUUCCAUUACUUCUGUGUAAUGCGAUGAGAGGACGGAGAAGGCUAAAUCAGCCUGGCGUUGGUUGUCCAGGUGAAAGGAUGUAGGCAUGUAUCUUAGGCAAAUCCGGGGUACUCUAUGCUGAGAUCUGAUAGCAAGCUGUACUUGUACAGCGAAGUGGUUGAUGCCAUGCUUCCAGGAAAAGUCUCUAAGCUUCAGUUACACAGGAAUCGUACCCGAAACCGACACAGGUGGUCAGGUCGAGUAGACCAAGGCGCUUGAGAGAACUCUGCUGAAGGAACUAGGCAAAAUGGUACCGUAACUUCGGGAGAAGGUACGCUGUUGUUGGUGAUGGAACUCGCUUCCUGAGCUGACGACAGCCGCAGAAACCAGGCCGCUGCAACUGUUUAUUAAAAACAUAGCACUCUGCAAACACGAAAGUGGACGUAUAGGGUGUGAUGCCUGCCCGGUGCUGGAAGGUUAAUUGAUGGGGUUAGCGUAAGCGAAGCUCUUGAUCGAAGCCCCAGUAAACGGCGGCCGUAACUAUAACGGUCCUAAGGUAGCGAAAUUCCUUGUCGGGUAAGUUCCGACCUGCACGAAUGGCAUAAUGAUGGCGGCGCUGUCUCCAGCAGAGGCUCAGUGAAAUCGAAAUCGCUGUGAAGAUGCAGUGUACCCGCGGCUAGACGGAAAGACCCCGUGAACCUUUACUGCAGCUUGACACUGAACUUUGACCUUACUUGUGUAGGAUAGGUGGGAGGCUUUGAAGCUGGAACGCUAGUUCCAGUGGAGCCGUCCUUGAAAUACCACCCUGGUAAUGUUGAGGUUCUAACUCUGUCCCGUGAUCCGGGACGAGGACCGUGUCUGGUGGGUAGUUUGACUGGGGCGGUCUCCUCCUAAAGAGUAACGGAGGAGUACGAAGGUGCGCUCAGCGUGGUCGGAAAUCACGCGUAGAGUAUAAAGGCAAAAGCGCGCUUAACUGCGAGACCCACAAGUCGAGCAGGUACGAAAGUAGGUCUUAGUGAUCCGGUGGUUCUGUAUGGAAGGGCCAUCGCUCAACGGAUAAAAGGUACUCUGGGGAUAACAGGCUGAUACCGCCCAAGAGUUCAUAUCGACGGCGGUGUUUGGCACCUCGAUGUCGGCUCAUCUCAUCCUGGGGCUGAAGCAGGUCCCAAGGGUAUGGCUGUUCGCCAUUUAAAGAGGUACGCGAGCUGGGUUUAGAACGUCGUGAGACAGUUCGGUCCCUAUCUACCGUGGGCGCUGGAAAUUUGAGAGGAUCUGCUCCUAGUACGAGAGGACCAGAGUGGACGAACCUCUGGUGUACCGGUUGUGACGCCAGUCGCAUCGCCGGGUAGCUAUGUUCGGAAGGGAUAACCGCUGAAAGCAUCUAAGCGGGAAGCCUACCUCAAGAUAAGAUUUCCCUAGGACUUUAUGUCCUCUAAAGAGCCGUUCGAGACUAGGACGUUG